UGGGUUGUAAACCUCUUUUGAUCGGGAAGAAGACAGUGACGGUACCGAUCGAAUCAGCAUCGGCUAACUCCGUGCCAGCAGCCGCGGUAAUACGGAGGAUGCAAGCGUUAUCCGGAUUUAUUGGGCGUAAAGCGUCCGCAGGUGGUUGAGCAAGUCUGCUGUCAAAGCGCGGAGCUUAACUCCGUAAAGGCAGUGGAAACUGUUUAACUUGAGUACGGUAGGGGUAGCGGGAAUUCCCAGUGUAGCGGUGAAAUGCGUAGAUAUUGGGAAGAACACCAGCGGCGAAAGCGCGCUACUGGGCCUGUACUGACACUGAGGGACGAAAGCUAGGGGAGCGAAAGGGAUUAGAUAC
RNAcentral lists this ribosomal RNA (352 nucleotides) under uncultured Pantanalinema sp. RNAcentral describes it as "bacterial SSU rRNA". It matches the Rfam family "Bacterial small subunit ribosomal RNA", at positions 419 to 785 of the family's 1533-position model. The record is from RNAcentral. Lineage: Bacteria; Bacillati; Cyanobacteriota; Cyanophyceae; Leptolyngbyales; Leptolyngbyaceae.